Molecule: long non-coding RNA, 384 nt
Organism: Mus musculus (house mouse)
Lineage: Eukaryota; Metazoa; Chordata; Mammalia; Rodentia; Muridae
Product: predicted gene, 33644
Exons: 3
Source: RefSeq, a predicted model, not a curated record
CCUUGGAAUAACUUAUUUCCAGAAUAUUCUCCAGCCUUCCGCAUCAGUAGCUGUGACUUCAGGGAUCUGCACCCCACAGGAAGCUGUGCGCGACCUUCCCUUGAUGAUCUCUGAAGCAUCACAUACACGCCUUCCGCCACGCCUUCUGUCAGGUCAUUGUGUUAUGGCUCGGCCAUGUGUGGGGCAGGGAGCCGGCUGAAGGGGAGUGUUCGGGAUGAGCUGACAUGCUUCCCCCACAGCGCGCCUCUGCAUUUUUCCAUGGUGACUACAAGAUGGAUCUGGGGACUUGAGUGGCCUUCAGGGAUAACACGUGAAUAUGUGGGCCACGGAGAAACAGCUGCGCCAUUUUGCUUCUAGUGGACCGGAGAAAGCGGAGCGCGUACG